CUCAGAGGUUUCUGCAAAGACUAAGAUUCUAUGAUUGUAUUCUCUCAUUUCUCCCAGUGUUCUAAGGGCGAGCUGCCAUCACAAGACUGGGACGUUGGCUCCUCCAGCAGCUCUGUGCGCGCGCGGAGAAUAGCGGAAGGAGACGUGAGGAGAAUCCUCGGGCCGAAAUACAAUAGGAUUCAAGGAAAGUCUGAAGGGCGGACCUGCCCUGAAUAUGAAACGACCAAAAUCAGGGUCAUCUGAUGCAUGGUGUGCACAUCUAACACAAGCUUCGUAUUCUGUAUACUCCUGCCUUUCAAUAAGUGGCCAUUGAUAAACUGAUUCAGCUUUCUCUUAUAAUAAGGUUUUUCUUGAGCUUCGCUUCAUUGCCAGGCCUGUUUUACUGCAAUUUGGAUAUAGAUGGAAAUUAUGUACCGUGCCCUCCGAAGCCCACUUACAGCGUGCAGGAAACCUUUAGUUUCUGAAGACUCACUCAGCACCUGUUGGUGGCGUGUGGCAGGGGGAAGGCAUAUAGCUCAAGGGAAGAUCUUAACUCCACCACACACUAGGAAUUGGGGGAGGCAUCAUGGAGGCUAGGGAGAGGGCUGGCAUUUAAGCAAGACAGUAAGGAAAACAACUGAAGAAGGUUGGUUGAUUUAUAUAGGAAAGUUUUCUAGGCAGUAUUUUCACUGAAAAACAUUGUUUUCCUUAAAGAUGCAUAUAGAAAGAGAUAAUAUUUUAAUAUAUAACAGAACAUUUGAAGGGAGUGUUAUAGUGGAAAUAGACUUCAUACAAAACACAAUUGAUAAAAUUACAUAUUAUAUAGAUCGUGUGUGUGUGUGGUGUAUCUAUAUCACAUAGGGUAUAUGCAAUUGAUAUAAAUAUACACAUUAAUAUAUAUAACAUAAAUGUAGAUUCAUACAUAUAUUGUAUAAGGAUAUUUAAAUAGCAUUAUACAUAUAUAUUACAUCUACAGAGAUGCUCAACUCUAGCGACUGUAAGUACAUUAUUUCUAGUCAGAACUUGCUUGUGACAAAUUAAGUGUAGGAUAAGCCAUGAUAAAAGUAUGGAUAAGUGAAAAAAAAAAGUACGGAUAAAUGAGAUAUUUUAUGAGAACAAAAAUAUCCAGCAAGUAUAAAUUGAUAUUAAUCAGCAAAUUUAGUUACGUUAGUAGACAAUGUGUAUCCUUUGAAAUUACAUCUUUACUAAUCAAUGUCACCGGCAGGUCCAGCUUCAUGAAAUGAGACCAGUGUCACAGAGGAAGGGCCCAUGUUUUGGGUUUGAUGCUUUGUGGCUGCUGGUUUGAAAUUUUACAUAAUUUUACCUUUUAAUUUAAGUGAAGACAAGUGGGACAAUAGACUCUUGGCUGCCCCAACACCAGCUGCAUCCCCCUACUCUGAGGAGGGCUUUGGCCCAGGGCAGGGAAGGCUGGGUGCAGGUCUUGAGCACCCACAUGUCCACAGGAUGGGUCUCGGGUGCCUGUGAGUGUCUCACUUGGCCCAUGAUUAUCCCCGAGGGAGUGCAGGAUUAAAUAGUGAAUAUGAAACAUCAGAAAAGGUCAAGGAAGAAGUACUUUUUUCUCCCAUUUAGAAAAAGGGUCCUGGCAUUUUUAUUUUGCACUCAAUCCCACAAAUUCUGUUCCUGGCCCUGGCCACUAGUGAUUAUUAACCUUUCAGAAUGCCCCCUUCUCUUGGUAAUAAAAAGCGAGUUUUGUUUUCUUCUCCCUGGAUGCCAACCUCCAGUGAAUUGCUCAUCCAUGUGAGGGGCUGGAUAUCAGCCAUACUACCAUCAUCUGAAGCAACUGUUCUCUCAUACUGCCCCAAUCUCUUUCAGCUUAAAAUAGAAUUCCAGCACCAGAAGAGUCACCACGGAUUGUUGGUCAUCUUAUGCCCUUUGGAGGACGGAUCCCUGUUAAAUUGAUUUCAGAUCACAUGGAGACGUGUUCUAAAGCAAGUAUCCACCCAGAUGAAGAGAACAGACAGAUGGACAGAGAGGACACUGGCUUCUUGCUUAAGUGUAGAACAUAUUACUGCUUUCAAGCUCCAGGCUUGGCUAGAAUAAGGCUGCCAUGGGCAAUCACUUUUGGAAGAGUCUCAGAGAUUCCCUUUAAGACAAUAUGAUUCUGGGAAAUAUAUUCUAAUGUCUUCCAGAAUCAAUUAUACUCUGAUGCUCAAAAGCUGAGCUCAAAACCGGGAGCUGAUCAACAGAGCUCCUGGUUGACAUAAUAUUGUGAUAAAAAGGAUCCACACCACUGCUCUGAUUACAGAGUCAAGAAGCAAAGCCAAUGCCUACUGAAGACCAAUAUUCAAGAGCCUGCCUCUCUUGACUCUAGGGAGGACAGACGCUGCUCGUGCUCAGGCAAAAUACUGAUUGAGGAACAUUGCAAACUCUGCAUUCGUUACUGAAAUAAAAGGGUUUUGGGUCUGAGAGAGCCUCCAUCUUGGUAUCAGGAUGCAUGAAACUGACAAUUGAUAAUUCAGGCUGUGAAAUCUCCAUUGACUUUAUUGGUCUACAAAUCUGAAAUGAGAAUCAGCUAGUGCUGAUAUAGACCAUUGCAGAAUCUCCCUCAUCUGAGACUGCACCACCUCCCACUAUUCUAGGAUGCCUACCA
Molecule: long non-coding RNA, 2590 nt
Filed under: Equus caballus (horse)
Lineage: Eukaryota; Metazoa; Chordata; Mammalia; Perissodactyla; Equidae
Description: lncRNA (ENSECAG00000032649.3)
Source: RNAcentral